CAGCAGCCACGGGAAUACGUAGGGCGCAAGCGUUGUCCGGAAUUAUUGGGCGUAAAGAGCUCGUAGGCGGUCUGUCGCGUCUGGUGUGAAAUCCCGAGGCUCAACCUCGGGCUUGCAUCGGGUACGGGCAGACUAGAGUGCGGUAGGGGAGACUGGAAUUCCUGGUGUAGCGGUGGAAUGCGCAGAUAUCAGGAGGAACACCGAUGGCGAAGGCAGGUCUCUGGGCCGCAACUGACGCUGAGGAGCGAAAGCAUGGGGAGCGAACAGGAUUAGAUACCCCAGUAGUCCCUGUCUCUUAUAC
Molecule: ribosomal RNA, 301 nt
Filed under: uncultured bacterium
Lineage: Bacteria
Description: partial 16S ribosomal RNA
Rfam family: Bacterial small subunit ribosomal RNA
Source: RNAcentral